GAUGAACGCUGGCGGCGUGCUUAACACAUGCAAGUCGAACGUGCUUUUUGUGGAAAUUCUCUCGGGAAUGGAAAUGCAAUGAAAGUGGCGAACGGGUGAGUAACACGUGAGCAACCUACCUUACACAGGGGGAUAGCCGUUGGAAACGACGAUUAAUACCGCAUGAGACCACAGAAUCGCAUGAUACAGGGGUCAAAGCAUUAUCGGGGUAAGAAGGGCUGGCGUCUGAUUAGCUAGUUGGAUGGGUAAAGGCCUACCAAGGCGACGAUCAGUAGCCGGUCUGUGAGGAUGAACGGCCACAUUGGAGCGGAGCCACGGUACAGACUCCUACGGGAGGCAGCAGUGGGGGAUGGUGCACAGUGGGGUGAAUCCUGAUGGUGCGACGACGCGUGAGCGAAGAAGGUUGGGGAAUCGUAAAGCGCUGGCCUAUGUGAAGGUAAUGACGGUACCAAAGGAGAAAGCCCCGGCUAAAUACGUG
This 478-nucleotide ribosomal RNA is filed under the name uncultured bacterium. RNAcentral's name for it is "partial 16S ribosomal RNA". It matches the Rfam family "Bacterial small subunit ribosomal RNA", at positions 28 to 507 of the family's 1533-position model. The record is from RNAcentral.